CGGACAGUAUUAAACGAAAAUUAUCGGUGUGCCAAUCAAGCAAAGGAACAAGGAACUUCCGAAUAUGGCCUAACUGGGGGCACAUAACAUAACCUAAUCCUAAUAUUUACAUUUGUAAAGAAUAUCCUGUUUGUUUUUAUUGUCGAUUGUGCAGCGAAAUUGUGAUAGCAAAUCAAAUAUAAAGUAGUUUAUCGCCUACAGAACUGAAUUAGUCCAUAGCAGUUAUCAGUUUUUCUUUCUUGGGAAGCUUAUACAUGUAACUUUUAUUGUUGUAAAUUGUGCGAGUAGGGCAGACAGGGAAAAGUCUUAUUUUGUACUGUUCCCAAGGCUCCCCAUGCAAUACAUUUAAAUGAAUUAUCCAAACAAAGCCGGGGACAAUGGAUAAAAGCCACAAGAAGAACAGAUAUAAGGGAACUAAAAUUAAAAUAUGAAAAGUAAACAUUUUAUAAGUGGAACAACCACCAGAUAUUUAAAAGGUAUAAAAAGAAGAAACUGCUGGAAUUUCAAAACAAAUGUGUUUGACUAGUAAAGAUUUGGAUAAAUAACAGGAGUUACUUUGGGCUAUAGCUACGUGCAGAUUUAUUUCCUUGUGGCUUCCUAUGUUAAUUCUUAAAGUAAUCGUUUAAUUGUUAAUAAAUUAUCAAGUAUGA
Long non-coding RNA from Diabrotica virgifera virgifera (western corn rootworm), 650 nucleotides. RefSeq lists it as uncharacterized. The transcript is spliced from 2 exons. Lineage: Eukaryota; Metazoa; Arthropoda; Insecta; Coleoptera; Chrysomelidae. The record is from RefSeq and is a predicted model, not a curated record.